GAUGAACGCUGGCGGCGUGCCUAAUACAUGCAAGUCGAGCGAACGGACGAGAAGCUUGCUUCUCUGAUGUUAGCGGCGGACGGGUGAGUAACACGUGGAUAACCUACCUAUAAGACUGGGAUAACUUCGGGAAACCGGAGCUAAUACCGGAUGAUAUUUUGAACCGCAUGGUUCAAAAGUGAAAGACGGUCUUGCUGUCACUUAUAGAUGGAUCCGCGCUGCAUUAGCUAGUUGGUAAGGUAACGGCUUACCAAGGCAACGAUGCAUGGCCGACCUGAGAGGGUGAUCGGCCACACUGGAACUGAGACACGGUCCAGACUCCUACGGGAGGCAGCAGUAGGGAAUCUUCCGCAAUGGGCGAAAGCCUGACGGAGCAACGCCGCGUGAGUGAUGAAGGUCUUCGGAUCGUAAAACUCUGUUAUUAGGGAAGAACAUAUGUGUAAGUAACUGUUCACAUCUUGACGGUACCUAAUCAGAAAGCCACGGCUAACUACGUG
RNAcentral lists this ribosomal RNA (497 nucleotides) under uncultured bacterium. Its description in RNAcentral is "partial 16S ribosomal RNA". It matches the Rfam family "Bacterial small subunit ribosomal RNA", at positions 28 to 507 of the family's 1533-position model. The record is from RNAcentral.